This 559-nucleotide ribosomal RNA is filed under the name Ochromonas sp. CCMP1393. RNAcentral's name for it is "partial Bacterial small subunit ribosomal RNA". It matches the Rfam family "Bacterial small subunit ribosomal RNA", at positions 358 to 930 of the family's 1533-position model. The record is from RNAcentral. Lineage: Eukaryota; Chrysophyceae; Chromulinales; Chromulinaceae.
GGAAUUUUCCGCAAUGGGCGAAAGCCUGACGGAGCAAUACCGCGUGAGGGAAGAAGGCUCUUGGGUUGUAAACCUCUUUUCUGAGGGAAGAAAAAAAUGACGGUACCUCAGGAAUCAGCAUCGGCUAACUCCGUGCCAGCAGCCGCGGUAAUACGGAGGAUGCAAGCGUUAUCCGGAAUGAUUGGGCGUAAAGCGUCCGCAGGUGGCAAUUCAAGUCUGCGGUUAAAGGUUCUGGCUCAACCAGAGACAGGCCGUGGAAACUGAAUAGCUAGAGUAUGGUAGGGGCAGAGGGAAUUCCCAGUGUAGCGGUGAAAUGCGUAGAGAUUGGGAAGAACACCGGUGGCGAAAGCGCUCUGCUAGGCCAAAACUGACACUGAGGGACGAAAGCUAGGGGAGCGAAUGGGAUUAGAUACCCCAGUAGUCCUAGCCGUAAACGAUGGAUACUAGGUGUAGCUUGUAUCGACCCAAGCUGUGCCGUAGCUAACGCGUUAAGUAUCCCGCCUGGGGAGUACGCGCGCAAGCGUGAAACUCAAAGGAAUUGACGGGGGCCCGCACAAGC